CCAAGGAGUCUAACAUGUGCGCGAGUCGUCGGGUCUUGAAUAGGCCCGCAGGCGCAAUGAAAGUGAAGGGCGACCCCGUUGUCGUCUGCGUUGGGAUCCUCAGACCACCGUGUCUGGGGCGCACCAACGGCCCGUCCCGUCCGCAGCGUCGGUGGGACGGAGCGAGAGCGUACACGUUGGGACCCGAAAGAUGGUGAACUAUGCCUGGGCAGGACGAGGCCAGAGGAAACUCUGGUGGAGGUCCGCAGCGAUUCUGACGUGCAAAUCGAUCGUCAGACCUGGGUAUAGGGGCGAAAGACUAAUCGAACCGUCUAGUAGCUGGUUCCCUCCGAAGUUUCCCUCAGGAUAGCUGGCGCUCGAGGGAGUCAGUCUCAUCCGGUAAAGCGAAUGAUUAGAGGCCUUGGGGCCGAAACGACCUCAACCUAUUCUCAAACUUUCAAUGGGUGAGAAGUCCGGUUUACAUGACUGAAGCCCGGACAAUUCUCAGGAUGCGAGUGCCCAGUGGGCCACUUUU
RNAcentral lists this ribosomal RNA (514 nucleotides) under Vaejovis vorhiesi group sp. RWB-2013. RNAcentral's name for it is "eukaryotic LSU rRNA". It matches the Rfam family "Eukaryotic large subunit ribosomal RNA", at positions 666 to 1138 of the family's 3401-position model. The record is from RNAcentral. Lineage: Eukaryota; Metazoa; Arthropoda; Arachnida; Scorpiones; Vaejovidae.